Molecule: transfer RNA, 63 nt
Filed under: Bostrichoidea sp. 1 KM-2017
Lineage: Eukaryota; Metazoa; Arthropoda; Insecta; Coleoptera
Description: tRNA-Trp
Source: RNAcentral
AAGGAUUUAAGUUAACAAAAACUAUUAGCCUUCAAAGCUAAAAAUAUACAAAUUUUAAACCUU